AUUGAACGCUGGCGGCAGGCUUAACACAUGCAAGUCGAGCGGGGUGAUGGUGCUUGCACUAUCGCUUAGCGGCGGACGGGUGAGUAAUGCUUAGGAAUCUGCCUAUUAGUGGGGGAUAACAUCUCGAAAGGGAUGCUAAUACCGCAUACGUCCUACGGGAGAAAGCAGGGGAUCACUUGUGACCUUGCGCUAAUAGAUGAGCCUAAGUCGGAUUAGCUAGUUGGUGGGGUAAAGGCCUACCAAGGCGACGAUCUGUAGCGGGUCUGAGAGGAUGAUCCGCCACACUGGGACUGAGACACGGCCCAGACUCCUACGGGAGGCAGCAGUGGGGAAUAUUGGACAAUGGGGGGAACCCUGAUCCAGCCAUGCCGCGUGUGUGAAGAAGGCCUUAUGGUUGUAAAGCACUUUAAGCGAGGAGGAGGCUCUUUUGGUUAAUACCCAAGAUGAGUGGACGUUACUCGCAGAAUAAGCACCGACUAACUCUGUGCCAGCCGCCGCGGUAA
RNAcentral lists this ribosomal RNA (503 nucleotides) under uncultured bacterium. RNAcentral's name for it is "partial 16S ribosomal RNA". It matches the Rfam family "Bacterial small subunit ribosomal RNA", at positions 30 to 523 of the family's 1533-position model. The record is from RNAcentral.